GAUCCUGGCUCAGGAUGAACGCUAGCGGCAGGCUUAAUACAUGCAAGUCGAACGGGAUUCAGGUAGCAAUACUUGAUGAGAGUGGCGCACGGGUGCGUAACACGUAUGCAACCUACCUUUAACUGGUGAAUAGCCCCGGGAAAUCGGGAUUAAUACACCAUAACAUUACAAGAGGGCAUCCUCUAAUAAUUAAAGAACUUCGGUUAAAGAUGGGCAUGCGGGACAUUAGCUAGUUGGUGAGGUAACGGCUCACCAAGGCAACGAUGUCUAGGGGUCCUGAGAGGGUUAUCCCCCACACUGGUACUGAGACACGGACCAGACUCCUACGGGAGGCAGCAGUAAGGAAUAUUGGUCAAUGGGCGCAAGCCUGAACCAGCCAUGCCGCGUGAAAGGAAGACGGCGCUAUGCGUUGUAAACUUCUUUUGUCAGGGAAUAAAUGUAGGUACGUGUACUUACUUGAAGGUACCUGAAGAAUAAGCAUCGGCUAACUCCGUGCCAGCAGCCGC
Molecule: ribosomal RNA, 506 nt
Filed under: uncultured bacterium
Lineage: Bacteria
Description: bacterial SSU rRNA
Rfam family: Bacterial small subunit ribosomal RNA
Source: RNAcentral